CUAUCCCCAUUUAACAAGACUGUGUUAUUUGGCCUUUCAAUUGAGAUGAACCCCACAACACAGAAGAUCUCCAUUGUCAAGGUCCACAUCCAAUUUGCCAGCUUUCUAUUGCAAAGUCAUGGAUUUUCCCCGAUUGCUGAAGCUGCUCACUUUGUUUGAUGAACAAUCACUAUAGCUGAUAGUGCUCUUCAACCAGAAAUCGCAUGUGCAUGUAACAGAGAAGAUUUAGAAAUAUCAGUCAGACUGGAGCCAAACAGUGCCAAUACUGCUGAGACAUGGUCAGAGGUAGAUCAUGUCUACCUUGGAAAGCUUAAAACAUCUGGAUGCAAACCUGCUAAGGAGAUGCUAUUCCAAGAAGCGCUCGGUGGCAGAUGCCAGGCAAUGCUGAAAGACCACAACAAUGCAGAGGAACUGUACAGGCAACUGAAGAAAAAAAACAUCCAGUUGGUGAGUCCUGAACGUCGAGUGAUCUAGAGCAAGUGAACUA
Molecule: long non-coding RNA, 487 nt
Organism: Callorhinchus milii (elephant shark)
Lineage: Eukaryota; Metazoa; Chordata; Chondrichthyes; Chimaeriformes; Callorhinchidae
Exons: 4
Source: RefSeq, a predicted model, not a curated record